CCGCGCAUGCGCCGCGGGACCGGUUUGUCACAGUUGUAGCGGUUUUUUUUUUUCUCCUUGAGUGUCGGCGUGUGGGAGAAGCGCGGCGCUCUCGGAGGAGAUGCGCUCGGGGGCAGCCAUCAGGGUCUGCCAGAAGAUCUUCAGGUGUCUGUUCUCCGGGUUUGGGGGUCGAGUAGACGAGGGGCAGCCGGAGCGGUGGACGGACAGGUGCUCCUUGGAAGAGCACCUGGGCCCGCACGCGGAGGCGCUCGGGGACGCCGAGGCGGGGGCCGAGGCGCGGGGCGAGGCGCUGCUGGAGCUCUGUCAGAAGAGGCAUUUCCUCAGUGGAACCCAGCCGCAGCUUAGCCGCGAUGCUCUGCUGAACGGCAGCCACCCCGGCUUUGGACCUUUGGGCGUGGAGUUGCGGAAGAACCUGGCGGCGGAAUGGUGGUCCUCGAUGGCGGCGUUCCGGGAGCAGGUCUUCGCGGUGGACGCCCUCCACCACCAGCCCGGCCCGACGCCGCCCGGGGACCCGGCCUUCGGGUUCGUCUCUGCAGAAACUGUACGUGAAAUCUUGCAAGACAAAGAGCUGAGUAAGGAGCAGCUAGUAGCGUGUCUUGAGGACUUAGUAAAAACUUCUGGCAAACUGCGUAAGAAUCUUCUGCACGGUGCCUUGGAGCACUAUGUUAAUUGCCUGGAUCUGGUAAACAGAAGGCUACCUUAUGGCCUUGCUCAGAUUGGAGUGUGCUUUCAUCCUGUUUCUGAUGCUAAGCAGAUCCUUAAUGGUAUUAAAAGAAUUGGUGAGAAGACCGAAGCUUCACUGGUAUGGUUUACUUCCCCAAGGACUUCAAGCCAGUGGCUUGAUUUCUGGUUGCGUCAUCGGCUCCUAUGGUGGAGAAAGUUUGCCAUGAGUCCAUCUAACUUCAGCAGCAGCGAUUGUCAGGAUGAAGAGGGACGGAAAGGAAGCAGACUUUACUACAAUUUUCCCUGGGGAAAGGAGCCAAUAGAGACCCUGUGGAAUCUAGGAGAUCAAGAACUUUUGCACAUGUAUCCUGAAAAUACGUCUAAAUUACACGGCCGAGAUGGGCGGAAAAAUGUGGUUCCUUCCGUUCUGUCUGUAAAUGGGGAUCUGGACCGUGGCGUGUUGGCUUACCUCUACGAUUCUCUCCAGCUCACUGAGAAUUCCUUUGCAAGGAAGAACGCCCUUCAUAGAAAGGUCCUUAAGCUUCACCCUUGUUUAGCCCCUAUUAAGGUUGCUUUGGAUAUGGGAAGAGGCUCCACAGUGGAACUAAGACAGGUUUGUCAAGGGCUAUUUAAUGAGUUACUAGAAAGUGGAAUUUCAGUGUGGCCUGGCUAUCAAGAGACUGUGCAUUCCUCAAUGGAGCAACUUUAUUCAAGGUAUGAUGAAAUGAGUGUCCUUUUCACAAUCUUGAUUACGGAGACCACGCUGGAGAACGGCUUAGUGCACCUGAGAAGCAGAGACACCACCAUGAAGGAAAUGAUGCACAUAGCCAAACUAAAGGACUUUCUAACCAAGUAUAUAUCAACGGCUAAAAACGUUCCUCAGGUACCUCCAGAUAGCCAAGGAGGAGAAUGGACACAUGUAUACUGAUCAAUAGCAGAAGAGGCCAAGCUGCUGGAGGAGCUAGGGAUGCUAGGCGGGGAUGAUGAAGGGCAAGAUGGAGCCCUGGGAGGAACAAGAGGAUGCCCUUUUCUUCCGUAUAGAAAAGAUAGGCCGUCAGGAUCCAUCGCCAAGCUGGAGGAGAAGUAGGGACUGAUGUUGCAAGCCUGUGGGUUGCCUGAGGACAGGUAAGGUCCUUCCAGGAAAGGAUUUUAUCUUCACCUCCGGUAGCACUGGCUUUCCUCUUAUCUGUGACCCUGUGGCUCUGGGGCAGUCCCUGACCUGCUCUUGCUUUCUGUGUCCUACCAGGUUUAGUGGAAAUCCGUCCUUUCUGCCGAGGACCAAGGGAAAGUGACAAGGGGUGAGGCCCAGGUAGUGUUGACAAAUGCACACCCAGGGGGUCACACUAGAAAGGAAACCAGUGAUUCUGAUACUCAAGGAGCUGAGUCGGGGACAGAGCUAUAAUCUCAAAGACAUGGGAAGGACUUCCAGCUUCCAGCAAUGUCCCAUCUGCCCCUGUGGUAGAUUGGUGGUUUCCCAGUCUAAUCUAUUAAAAUAUGUACUUACGUUUGUGCAUU
Molecule: RNA transcript, 2178 nt
Organism: Perognathus longimembris pacificus (Pacific pocket mouse)
Lineage: Eukaryota; Metazoa; Chordata; Mammalia; Rodentia; Heteromyidae
Gene: Polg2
Gene name: DNA polymerase gamma 2, accessory subunit
Exons: 10
Source: RefSeq, a predicted model, not a curated record